AAGGAUCAUUAUCGAUUCGAUUCCUUGCGAAAUCACUGUGCACCCGGUGCGCUUUGCGCGCUAUCCUUUCGGGGUUGGACCGUUUGCGCGGACCAUUAAAUCGGACUCUAGGCGGCUGCACGGCGCCUGUCUCUCUCUCUCGCGGGGGGUUGACGGGUUGGAGUCGAGCGCUGUCCCGGGCCCCGAUUGGAGUUGCGGCGCGCGAGCUGUUUUCACCGCGCGGUUUCUGCUGCGCAUUGUGUUUUAACCAAGCAAAUUUGCAGACUGAACUGUGGGCUUUUUCGAAAGCUUGUCUCUGAAUGCAAUCAAGGACAACUUUCAACGGUGGAUCUCUUGGCUCGUGGAUCGAUGAAGAACGCAGCAAAACGCGAUAUGUAGUGUGAAUUGCAGAAUUCAGUGAAUCAUCGAAUCUUUGAACGCAAAUGGCGCCCCUGGGUAUUCCCAGGAGCAUGUCUGUCUCAGUGUCGUUUUCACCUCGAGCGCGCUACGGCGCGGUGGUCAUGAGGCGUCUGGGCUCUCUCUCUCUCGCGGGAGCUCAGUCCCUUGAAAUGCAGUGGCCGGACACCUGUUUUGCGCAGCACCGGGUCGGUUCGCCCCGGACUUGCUCGCACGGCUGAUGACGGCUUUUAGCCCCGUUUUGUCGUGUCGCAGCAGCCGGGAUACGAGCCCGCCGAACGCAGCGUGGGCGUCCGAAACAAGCCAGNUNUGGAAGCGACUCGUUCGAAGUUCGCUUUGAACACCUUUGACCUGAGAUCAGGC
Molecule: ribosomal RNA, 759 nt
Filed under: Ascandra contorta
Lineage: Eukaryota; Metazoa; Porifera; Calcarea; Clathrinida; Leucaltidae
Description: eukaryotic LSU rRNA
Rfam family: 5.8S ribosomal RNA (bases 314-467)
Source: RNAcentral